Tupaia belangeri chinensis (Chinese tree shrew) is the source of this 297-nucleotide long non-coding RNA. RefSeq lists it as uncharacterized. Lineage: Eukaryota; Metazoa; Chordata; Mammalia; Scandentia; Tupaiidae. The transcript is spliced from 3 exons. The record is from RefSeq and is a predicted model, not a curated record.
AGCUAUAGAGUGAGUGUCUCGUCAGAUAGAGAUGGAGUGGGGCCGGGGAGUGAGGUGGGGGCUGGAAGGAAGAGUGGAUGGAUUUCCUCUGAAAAAGGAGUUCCUUCUAAACAGUCGGUGGUCAGAGUAAACACUCCAUUGAAGAUUAUGUUCAAGAAACUGCUCCCAACUAGUAAGAAGUGUAUUAAUCCUCUCAUGAAAAAUCCGCACAAUCACCGCAGAGAGUCAUUGCAGAAUCUUUACUCCUUCGACUGUUCUCCAGUCUCCAGCUCGCUUUUUGCCAGCACCAACGUUGGG